Molecule: ribosomal RNA, 274 nt
Filed under: uncultured bacterium
Lineage: Bacteria
Description: partial 16S ribosomal RNA
Rfam family: Archaeal small subunit ribosomal RNA
Source: RNAcentral
AAACCAGCACCUCAAGUGGUCAGGAUGAUUAUUGGGCCUAAAGCAUCCGUAGCCGGCUCUGUAAGUUUUCGGUUAAAUCUGUACGCUCAACGUACAGGCUGUCGGGAAUACUGCAGAGCUAGGGAGUGGGAGAGGUAGACGGUACUCGGGAGGAAGUGGUAAAAUGCUUUGAUCUCUCGAUGACCACCUGUGGCGAAGGCGGUCUACCAGAACACGUCCGACGGUGAGGGAUGAAAGCUGGGGGAGCAAACCGGAUUAGAAACCCGAGUAGUCC